GACGAACGCUGGCGGCGUGCUUAACACAUGCAAGUCGAACGGAAAGGCCCUGCUUUUGUGGGGUGCUCGAGUGGCGAACGGGUGAGUAACACGUGAGUAACCUGCCCUUGACUUUGGGAUAACUUCAGGAAACUGGGGCUAAUACCGGAUAGGAGCUCCUGCUGCAUGGUGGGGGUUGGAAAGUUUCGGCGGUUGGGGAUGGACUCGCGGCUGAUCAGCUUGUUGGUGGGGUAGUGGCUUACCAAGGCUUUGACGGGUAGCCGGCCUGAGAGGGUGACCGGCCACAUUUGGACUGAGAUACGGCCCAGACUCCUGCGGGAGGCAGCAGUGGGGAAUAUUGCACAAUGGGCGGAAGCCUGAUGCAGCAACGCCGCGUGCGGGAUGGCGGCCUUCGGGUUGUAAACCUCUUUCGCCUGUGACGAAGCGUGAGUGACGGUAAGUGGUAAAGGAGCACCGGCUAACUACGUG
This 468-nucleotide ribosomal RNA is filed under the name uncultured bacterium. RNAcentral describes it as "partial 16S ribosomal RNA". It matches the Rfam family "Bacterial small subunit ribosomal RNA", at positions 28 to 507 of the family's 1533-position model. The record is from RNAcentral.